UUUACUAGUGGCGGACGGGUGAGUAACGCGUGGGUAACCUGCCUUAUACAGGGGGAUAACAGUCAGAAAUGGCUGCUAAUACCGCAUAAGCGCACAGAGCUGCAUGGCUCGGUGUGAAAAACUCCGGUGGUAUAAGAUGGACCCGCGUUGGAUUAGCUUGUUGGUGGGGUAACGGCCCACCAAGCCUUCGAUGGAUAGGGGUUCUGAGAGGAAGGUCCCCCACAUUGGAACUGAGACACGGUCCAAACUCCUACGGGAGGCAGCAUG
This 267-nucleotide ribosomal RNA is filed under the name uncultured bacterium. RNAcentral's name for it is "partial 16S ribosomal RNA". It matches the Rfam family "Bacterial small subunit ribosomal RNA", at positions 88 to 353 of the family's 1533-position model. The record is from RNAcentral.